RNAcentral lists this ribosomal RNA (492 nucleotides) under uncultured bacterium. Its description in RNAcentral is "partial 16S ribosomal RNA". It matches the Rfam family "Bacterial small subunit ribosomal RNA", at positions 29 to 507 of the family's 1533-position model. The record is from RNAcentral.
AGUGAACGCUGGCGGUAGGCCUAACACAUGCAAGUCGAACGGCAGCACAGUAAGAGCUUGCUCUUACGGGUGGCGAGUGGCGGACGGGUGAGGAAUACAUCGGAAUCUACUUUUUCGCGGGGGAUAACGUAGGGAAACUUACGCUAAUACCGCAUACGACCUACGGGUGAAAGCAGGGGAUCUUCGGACCUUGCGCGAUUGAAUGAGCCGAUGUCGGAUUAGCUAGUUGGCGGGGUAAAGGCCCACCAAGGCGACGAUCCGUAGCUGGUCUGAGAGGAUGAUCAGCCACACUGGAACUGGGACACGGUCCAGACUCCUACGGGAGGCAGCAGUGGGGAAUAUUGGACAAUGGGCGCAAGCCUGAUCCAGCCAUACCGCGUGGGUGAAGAAGGCCUUCGGGUUGUAAAGCCCUUUUGUUGGGAAAGAAAAGCAGCAGGUUAAUACCCCGCUGUUCUGACGGUACCCAAAGAAUAAGCACCGGCUAACUUCGUG